GAGCGCAGAGCGCAUCGAGCCGGCGAUC
This 28-nucleotide small RNA is filed under the name Bombyx mori (domestic silkworm). RNAcentral's name for it is "ovarian small RNA-15807". The record is from RNAcentral. Lineage: Eukaryota; Metazoa; Arthropoda; Insecta; Lepidoptera; Bombycidae.